Molecule: long non-coding RNA, 1133 nt
Filed under: Falco tinnunculus (common kestrel)
Lineage: Eukaryota; Metazoa; Chordata; Aves; Falconiformes; Falconidae
Description: lncRNA (ENSFTIG00000009141.1)
Source: RNAcentral
CGGCCCUGACGGCGGCGCAGCGGGCGCGGGCGCGGGGGACGCGCUUUAAUUUAUUCCUCAGACUGGCCCGGCCGCGCCGCUCCGCGCCCCGCGCUAUUUAUUCGCCCGCCGCGGGCCCCCCGCGCGCCGGGGCCGCCGCGGCCGCAGCAGCAGUAGCCAAAGGUUUGCGAUUCUAAUUUAUUCCCUUCCUCGCGUGGCCGCCGGGGCGGCGGCGACCCCCGGCCCCGCUCCGCCCGGCCCGGGCCCGUCCGGGGGACGCUGCGGCGCCGCUUCCCGGCCCGUUUCUAUUUAUUUUCUAACCGUGCGCGGAGCUCUCCCCCCACCCCCACCCACCCCACCCCCCCCGCUGGUGGGUUCGGUCCGGUCCAUCCCCUUGGGUUUCGGUUUUUGUUUGUAUCUUUAUUGCAAAACCAAUGUAGACUGCGAGGGUACGUUUCUAUUUAUGUUAUAGUAAAUAUUUUAUUACUUACAUAAACCAUUUACCCAGGAACCGGUCUCGUGUCGUCUUUGCGGGCCCGGGCGCGCUCCCUCCCCGGGCCCCCCGCGCCCCCCGCCGCCGCGCUCCGUCCCCGGGGGCAGGCGGGGGCCGCCGGUGCUCCCCCCGCCCCGGGCCGCGCUCCCCGGAGCCGCCGCGCUGCGCAGCCCCUGCGCCCGGGGGGGCGGCCCGGCGCGGCUCCGUGCUGGUGCCGCCGCGUUCUUCCGCGGCUCCGAACCGAACUUUUUGCCGCCCGCAGCGCCAGCAGAAGCGGCUCUGAACGCAGCCGUCCGUCCGCAGUUCGCGCUGUGCGCUGGGCAGCGCGGCCGCGGGGAGGCCCGCAUCCCCCAGCCCACCUCCCGGGCCGUCAGGUGGCACCAGCAAAACGUCGAGAAAAGUCGCGUGUCAGGAUUGCGUCCGACCGAGCGGGUCCCUCGCCUCCUGCCGUGCGUUGGGAAAACUUUGGAAACGUGGCCUGUGCAGAGCCCCUGCACUGCUGCAAGGCUUGGGCGAAAUCUGUAGUUGUUUCUCACUGAAGUGAAAGUGUGAGCUCAUACUACUACAUCAGGAGUGAAGCAUGCGAAGGUAAGACGGUGAUGUUGGUACAGUAAAAGGAAAGCAGAUGUACAGGUAGUUAUUUAACAAUGCACAAAUGGAG